AGCAGCCGCGGUAAUUCCAGCUCCAAUAGCGUAUAUUAAAGUUGCUGCAGUUAAAAAGCUCGUAGUUGAAUUUCGGGACCAUCAUGUCGGUCGUGCCUCGGUACGUACUGGUAUUGUUGGUUUCUCCCUUCUGACGAACCAUGAUGUCAUUUAUUUGGUGUUGUGGGGAAUCAGGACUGUUACUUUGAAAAAAUUAGAGUGUUUAAAGCAGGCUCACGCUUGAAUACAUUAGCAUGGAAUAAUGAAAUAGGACGUUUGAUUCUAUUUUGUUGGUUUCUAGGAUCGACGUAAUGAUUAAUAGGGAUAGUUGGGGGCAUUAGUAUUCAAUUGUCAGAGGUGAAAUUCUUGGAUUUAUUGAAGACUAACUACUGCGAAAGCAUUUGCCAAGGAUGUUUUCAUUAAUCAAGAACGAAAGUUAGGGGGUCGAAGACGAUCAGAUACCGUCGUAGU
Molecule: ribosomal RNA, 450 nt
Filed under: uncultured Glomeromycotina
Lineage: Eukaryota; Fungi; Glomeromycota
Description: SSU rRNA
Rfam family: Eukaryotic small subunit ribosomal RNA
Source: RNAcentral